Molecule: ribosomal RNA, 383 nt
Filed under: uncultured euryarchaeote
Lineage: Archaea; Methanobacteriati; Methanobacteriota
Description: bacterial SSU rRNA
Rfam family: Archaeal small subunit ribosomal RNA
Source: RNAcentral
UAGGAAUAUUCUGCAAUGUGCGCAAGCAUGACAGAUUGAGCCAGAGUGCUUUUCAAUUGAAAAGCUUUUGUGAAAUGCAAAAAGUUUCUCGAAUAAGGACUGGGUAAGACGAGUGCCAGCCGCCGCGGUAAUACUCGCGGUCCAAGUCGCAGACAUCAUUAUUGGGUCUAAAACAUCCGUAGCUUGCUUGAUAAGUCCCCUGUGAAAUUCUGUAUCUAAAAUACAGAGCGGGCAGGGGGUACUGUUGAGCUAGAGACUGGAAGACGUAAGAAGUACGUUCGGAGUAGCGGUAAAAUGUGUUAAUCCCGGGCGGACUAACAAGAGCGAAGGCAUCUUACGAGGACAGUUCUGACAGUAAGGGAUGAAAGCUAGGGGCGCGAAAC